RNAcentral lists this unclassified non-coding RNA (388 nucleotides) under uncultured fungus. Its description in RNAcentral is "partial contains small subunit ribosomal RNA, internal transcribed spacer 1, and 5.8S ribosomal RNA". The stretch from base 1 to 73 matches the Rfam family "Eukaryotic small subunit ribosomal RNA", at positions 1759 to 1831 of the family's 1831-position model. The record is from RNAcentral. Lineage: Eukaryota; Fungi.
UCAAACUUGGUCAUUUAGAGGAAGUAAAAGUCGUAACAAGGUUUCCGUAGGUGAACCUGCGGAAGGAUCAUUAUUGAAUACCAUUGGUUUAGGCUGUUGCUGGCUUGCAUUAGCAAAUGUGCACGUCUAUUCCAUAUUAUUUUAAUCCUCCAUGUGCACCAUUGUGUAGGCCUGGACCAACAACUCUCGAGGGGUUUUUGCUUUACUCUCGGUUUGAGAAACUGCUGUGUGUCAAGCCAGCUUUUUUUUUUUUUUCUUGCGGCUUCAGGUCUAUGUGUCAUUUUGUUUUGUCCGCUAUGGAAUGUAUGGAAAAGGAAAUGUUUCACAUAAUAUUUAUACAACUUUCAACAACGGAUCUCUUGGCUCUCGCAUCGAUGAAGAACGCAGC